AUACGUAGGGUGCGAGCGUUGUCCGGAAUUACUGGGCGUAAAGAGCUCGUAGGUGGUUUGUCGCGUCGUCUGUGAAAUUCCGGGGCUUAACUCCGGGCGUGCAGGCGAUACGGGCAUAACUUGAGUACUGUAGGGGAGACUGGAAUUCCUGGUGUAGCGGUGAAAUGCGCAGAUAUCAGGAGGAACACCGGUGGCGAAGGGGGGUCUCUGGGCAGUAACUGACGCUGAGGAGCGAAAGCAUGGGUAGCGAACAGGAUUAGAUACCCUGGUAGUCCAUGCCGUAAACGGUGGGCGCUAGGUGUAGGGGUCUUCCACGACUUCUGUGCCGUAGCUAACGCAUUAAGCGCCCCGCCUGGGGAGUACGGCCGCAAGGCUAAAACUCAAAUGAAUUGGCGGGG
This 398-nucleotide ribosomal RNA is filed under the name uncultured bacterium. RNAcentral's name for it is "partial 16S ribosomal RNA". It matches the Rfam family "Bacterial small subunit ribosomal RNA", at positions 523 to 918 of the family's 1533-position model. The record is from RNAcentral.